RNAcentral lists this ribosomal RNA (404 nucleotides) under uncultured bacterium. RNAcentral's name for it is "bacterial SSU rRNA". It matches the Rfam family "Bacterial small subunit ribosomal RNA", at positions 28 to 478 of the family's 1533-position model. The record is from RNAcentral.
GAUGAACGCUGGCGGCGUGCUUAACACAUGCAAGUCGAACGAACCUUCGGGUUAGUGGCGGACGGGUGAGUAACGCGUGAGAAUCUGCCCUCAGGAGGGGGAUAACGGUUGGAAACGACCGCUAAUANCCCCAUAUGCCGAGAGGUGAAAUGAAUUUCGCCUGAGGAUGAGCUCGCGUCUGAUUAGCUAGUUGGUGUGGUAAUGGCGCACCAAGGCUUCGAUCAGUAGCUGGUCUGAGAGGAUGAUCAGCCACACUGGGACUGAGACACGGCCCAGACUCCUACGGGAGGCAGCAGUGGGGAAUCUUCCGCAAUGGGCGAAAGCCUGACGGAGCAACGCCGCGUGAGGGAUGAAGGCCUCUGGGCUGUAAACCUCUUUUCUCAAGGAAGAAGAUCUGACGGUAC